Leopardus geoffroyi (Geoffroy's cat) is the source of this 3092-nucleotide long non-coding RNA. RefSeq lists it as uncharacterized. The transcript has 4 exons. Lineage: Eukaryota; Metazoa; Chordata; Mammalia; Carnivora; Felidae. The record is from RefSeq and is a predicted model, not a curated record.
UGCUCCUAUCUAGAUUUAUAAUUUACAUCUAAUGCAUAUUGUAGAAAACAGCAAAAACUCUGAGGCUUAACUCAACAAAAAUCUGUUGUCUGUGCCACAAGCCCCACUGUUUCGGGAGGUGGUUUGUGCCACAUAACCACUCCACACUAUUUAUUAUGCCUCUAUCUGAACAUCAUGCUUUAGGUUUUUUGAGAGGAGGAGAAAGCAAUGGAAAGUUGGCCACUGGCAGUUAAAUGCUCCGCACCUUUAUGGAAGUUACACUGGCUCACAUUUCCUAGGCCAAAGGUAGUCUUGUAUCUGAUUUAACAUCAAAGUUGGCAGGGAAAUACAAUCCUUCCUUGUGUCUGAAAGGGGAGGGGGCCCCAUACUGGUAAGCAGACUGCCAGGCAGAGUGUUCCAACAUGUACUUGUGCCAUAUUUGUCCUACCGAUUCCCCUGCCCUUGAAAGAGCUGAUGAUAUAGUUCACAAUCUGUGCCAAACCUUAGGGCAGACGUUGUACUAGAGGCCACUUGGGUCUGAAAUGCCAGGAUUGAAACCAGGAUCCAUAACCAAGGAUGGGAAAGCUGGAGUGUUCCCAGAAGUAACAGAGUUCUCAGCUAUAUCCACACAUUCAGGAAGCUGUGCAGGCACAGUGUAUUACCAAGAGGUAAUUUCACCAUCAGGUGACCAUGAACUCAACCAGAGUAGAGGUGGUCCCAAACAGACUUGUCUAUUGAGUCUCAUUUCAGUCCCUAGGGUCUUCACAGAAGGAUGUCAGGGGUCCCUUCCUUCCCUGAUCUCUCCCAGCUUCUUUUUCUUUCCUCCUUAAAUGAUCUCCUUACUUUUUGUACACAUCUACUUCUCCUUCCCUAACAGUGUCCCACUCCAUCCUGGAGACAAGUCCUGAACAUUUCCCCCAAGACAGUCUUGAAGUGUCAUGAGCUGUUCUUACGACACAUAAGCCCAUUGUAGAAGGACUUAGAUAUUUUUGAUUCUUUAUAAAAUGGAGCACCUUCACCCUUCCUCCUGAUGAAUUUGCUCACUCAUGAGAAGGCACAGAGGGCAUUGUUAAGCGGCACCUGAAAACGGAACUUUCCAGGCUCUUGGAUCCAAAUCAGAACACAGGUGUUGAGUAUGGAAGAGUCACUUCAAAAAUCAGAUUCCAUGGAUAUGUGAUCAGUAGUUAAAGGGUUAAAGUCACAUUCGAAAGAAAGGUGACCCUCCUUCUCCUUGCUAAUGUAAUUGGCCAGAGUCCAAGCCAUUGGCCAAGCCAUACAUGAGUGGGGCCACCUGAUUUGAAAAAGGGACCUUAUACACAAACAAAUUGGAUGACCUAGAAGAAAGGUACAAAGACCUAAAAACACACAACCUAUCCAAACGGAAUCAAGAAGAAAUAGAAAGCCGGAACAAACCAGUAACAAAUAAGGUGACUGAAUCAGUAAUCAGAAACUUCUCGACAAAGAAAAGCCCAGUGCUAUAUGGAUUCACAGUCCCCGGAAACCACCAUUCAACUUUCUUGUCUCCAUGAAUUUGCUACUCUAGAUACCUCAUCUGUCAUGAAUAUAUGCUGAUCAGAAUUACUCAGAAUCUUCUGUCAUGGUUCCAGAAACGUGGGGAAAAACAAAAGACAACACAGAGAUAAAAUUACAGGUUACCAAGAAUUAUUUUUGGAAUUUUUUCAAAGCCAAGACAGACAACGCAGCCAGAAGAUGAGAACAGCCAACUCGUGAUAACAUUUCUCUUCAGUGGAUCAGGAAAGAGUCACAAAAGGUAAUGACAGCCCAAGAGCAGAGAAUGAAUGAAGCCAAAAACUUCUGAAAUAGGGAAAGGUGUGCAAAGCAAUGACUAACUUUUACAGAGGUCCCUCAGGCUCGGCAAUAGCAGGACGCAAGACGGGAAAGGCGUAGCAGUGGGAAGAAGCUACUGGCAAGGGGAUUGUUACAGGUGGAACUGCGUCCCCCCAAAUCCGCAUUUUGAAUCCCGACGCUUAGUACCUUCAGAUGUAACCUUAUAUGGAGAUAUGGUCUUAACAGAGGUAGUCAAGUUAGAGUGAGUUCAUCAGAGUGGUCCCUAAUCCACUCUGAUUGGGGUCCCUUAAAAGGGGGAAAUUUAGGCGCAGGGGUACCCAUAGAGGGAAAAUGCCAUGUGAAGAGACAGAGAGAAGAUGGCCAUCUUCAUGCCAAGGAGAGAGGUGUGGAGCAGAUCUUCCCCUGGACCCCUCGGAAGGAACCAACCCUACCAACACCUUGAUCCUGAACUUCCAACCUCCAAAACUGUGAGAAGAUGCAUUUCUGUUGUGCAUGCCCCUAGUCGGCAGUCCUAGGUUGCGGCAGCCCUAGCAAAGUAAUACAGUAAUUAACCUGAAAAAUCCUCAUUUACUGGAGGAUUCUAACAUUAAAGGGCGAAAAAGUAGUUGAAUGAGUAGAUCAAGGAGAUAAAAGAGGUCUCCUCGGGCUCAUAUUUACACGAAGCAGGCUUUUCUAUUAUAUUUACCAGAAACGACACGAGGUUGGAGCCUGGAAUGGGAAUAUAUAAAGUAGUGGCAAUGAAUGACCAAAACAGGUCUUAACACGUGCGUGCCAGGCACAGCAUCAUGUGUUUUACAGGAGUCAUUUGACUUGAUCCUUACAACCACCCUGUGAGGAGGUUGAAUUAUUUUCGAGAUGAAAAUACUGAGUCUCAGGGAAGUUUGGUUUCCUCACCCAGGGUCAGACAGCAGUAAGAGAUGGGAAAGAGCUCCUCUUGGCUCUGGGAGGGUAAGGAGGAGAGUGAUCGCUGUGAAUGCACCGAGACCCUUCUCCAUCACAGGGACUAUUCCCCAGAGGGAAAGACACAUCCCACUCAGGGGAAGGGCAUAUCUCUAACUCCAGACCCUAGAGUUUUCUUCUGUCACCUAAGAAGUAAAAAUAAAAGCUAUGAAAAACUUGUAAAGGUCACAACCCAGGACGCAGACCCACUGAACACUGAGAUUGAAUCCUCAGAUUAUAGAAUGCUUCCCUCUCUGAUUUUUUAUCACCACAUCAACAGGCCUCCAAUAUAAUAACAUUUGACAGCUAAAAGGGCUGCAAGGUACAGACUCUAUUUAAGGAGGAGUUCUUAGUGGGGGCGCCUG